AUUAACAGCUUUUCUUGAGUCUGC
RNAcentral lists this non-coding RNA (24 nucleotides) under Arabidopsis thaliana (thale cress). The record is from RNAcentral. Lineage: Eukaryota; Viridiplantae; Streptophyta; Magnoliopsida; Brassicales; Brassicaceae.